GUCCUCAUCAUCAAAACAGAUCUUCCUUUUGCCCAUGGUGUCCUUGUGCUGUUUAUUUUCACGUCCUCUGUGACCAUUCUAUCUUCAUUUCCUCACAGUCAGAUCUACAGUCAUUUUAUUUUAUUUUUGUGUUAUUGAUUUUAUUAAUUUAUUUUAUUUAUUAAAUCUCUAUACAACUGCUUCCAAAUGUCCUGGAUAAGAAUAUAAAAAAAAGAAAAAUUUGUCAAAACUUGGAACUAUGAUGUGGAUUACGAGCAUCACACAUGCACGCGGAAACAGGACUCGAGAUGAAAGAGUGAAAGACAGACGGACAGAUUGUAUGUGUGGGGAAAACGAGUGUGUGUUGAAAGAGGAUUGUCGACAGAGAGGAAGAAAGACCCUCUCCUCCCCCUUCGAGAAAUGGAGGACAGUUUGGGGAAGAAAGAAACGAAAGGAAAGAAAAAGAGAGGAGGAAGGAAGGAAGGAAGGAAGCUGCUCGCUUCUCAGUUGCUGAGUUUCUGAACUGACCUCUUUCUCCCUAAAGAAGACCCCCCAUGUCCCCACUCACACAGCACUGCAACUCCAGAGGCCACUUCCAGAGUCACCAAGAAACCAAGAGAACCCACAGGGAAAAAGGAGAGAGAGAGAAAGAAGAAGUGAGAAAAGAGACAAGUGUGGUGCUCGUAAAACUUCAUGAAAAAUACAAGAUUGCUCAUCUCUCCACUCAUAAAUGCUACCUCGGACUGGAUCGACCCAAGCACAGCCGCGUUAAUGCCCGGAGGAUGUGGGACUUUACACAGUCUUCCAAACUGGAUCGUCGUUUCAGUCCAGCUGUGCUUAUCUGCAUGAAUAUCAAUACAACUCCACGUUACGUUUCCGUGAACCUGCCCAGGCUUUGUGACUGAGAUUUAACUGGGCAGAAGAUGAUUUUAAAUGGACCACUCUAGGAGACGUUCGGUUUUUUAAGUUGACUCAUUGGCUCCCUUCGCAUCUAAGCUUACCAUGCAAGCUAAGGCCAGUACAGCUGCAAAAAUUUUCUGGACAAAGAAUUGCGUGGAAAGAUUCCCAUACUUGCUAUUUAGAAAGCCAAACCGGCAGGCCAUAGUUAAGUGGCUGGCAUGAUGAUGGUCCACCUGGAUGGACCACCAACCCUCCUCUUUCAUCUCAAACAUCCUGGAUUCCACUUGCACUGCACACAAGGACAGAUAAACUUCCAUCAAAAAAAAACCCUGUCUGAGGGGUGAGCUCAGUACGUCUCCAGACCCUCAGACGUGUGACUUCGAGCGCUACACAGGGAAGAACCUCAGCCUCUCUUCCGGUCUUUCUUUUCAUUCUUUCUCUUCCUCUCUUCCCACACCAAUGCCCCUGCACAUCUCAGCGUUUCUCCUCCUCUGUAGAUGAACUGCAUGGCAUGAAAGAAAUACAACAUAAAAAAAAUAAAAUCAGAGAGAAGAAAGUAGAGAACACAAAAGUUAGGAUGGAGAAACUUGAGAUGUUUCUGAAGGGCCGCUUCUGUUGUACAGAAGGGGGAACGCUGGGCAAAACAGCGGCCUGUUGGGGUAGACGAGACAAGCUUUCUGCAUCAGGGCAACAAAUAUGGAACCUACAGAAGGACGGAGGGGGUUUUCAAGAAGGCAGGGUGAACUUUGAACUAAACACUUUAAAGAGAAUGAAAAUUUAAAAUGCAUUUUUCUGACUUUGUUUACCAGCAUGACUAAACUGCAUGACUCAACUUCUGCAAGCCCCAAACCCCCCAAAAAAGAGGGCUUGGAAUUACUAAAGAGCAAAAUCAUGGGGAAACAAUACAGAUUUAUGUUAUAUGCAAGUAAAUUUAGGGAAAAAUUGUAUUUAAAAAAAAAGAUGUUCUAUAUUUUGUUUUUUGUUUUUUUUUAAUACAAAAAAAGAAUAAUGAAAAAAUAUAUAUAUAUAUGAUUGCAGAUACAGUCAGAACUAUGCUUUAUUAGAUGUAAGAUACCCCCAACGAAAUCUUAGAUGAUCAGCGAGAUUAAUCUCCAUUUCAACUCCAGUUGUUUCUUCUCUAUAACUCCUGCCUGCUCCAGCUCUCCUGACUCUUCGUUCUCCUGCUGACGCCUGCAGUCCGCUCUGGACGUUACAUCCUCCUGUGGCCAGUCUGUGUCUUUGCUGAUGUCAGCAAUCGCAGCACAACUGCUCUGGAGGCCUAAUGCUCAUGGGUGUGGUGCAUGAGGGUCUUGGGUGGCUGCUUCAUCCUGGAGAUCUGAGAUCUUCAAGACAAUGUAUAGUACUUUCUUGUUUUGGACUGUAUAUCAUUGUGUUCUAUCUUUAUGUGGCGAGGCCACGGGGGAAAUUGACUUUUGAAUGUUUUGUUUGUCCAUGAGUCACAGUUUCUUUUUUCUUUUUUCAUUCAGCUAUUGGGAGUACAAAUGGUGAAGCAGACACCCAGGAGUUCUCAGGAGAGCACAUGGAUAGCAGCAGUAUAAUAAUGCAGUAACAUAGAUGGUAGCAGCUGCUGGCGCGUAAGAGCAAUGCUAUUUUAAUAUCACUAACCCAAACCCAGUUUUAAGUCAUGUUGAUCAUAAUCGCUUAAGCUUUUUGAACGCAUAGAUCAGGCUUUUGGCAGGCCCAUAAAUAGAGGUUAUAUAUGAUCGUCUGAACCAAAUGUAGUUGGAAGUUAGCAUUGCUGUUUUCAUUUGUCUCAUCCCUAGUUUGAUAAGGUAAAUUACCAACAUAUCAGUGCACUCAGAGCGGUCCACACGCAAGAACGGCCACUAAAUUCUCAAACGCACCAUGGUGGAUUGAGCCGAAACAAAAAACAAAGGUGCUUUUCAAGUCUUCCUUAGCAGCUCCUUGGUUUGAGGCCAAGAUCCUCCCAGAGGGAGAUGGAUCACAUGUAAUGGAUACUGCUUAUUCAAUAUAUGUGGCUCAAUAGGUCAAAGAAUGAAAGUCACUGGAGUCUCACUCCAGCUUUUAUUGUUGUACCGCAGGAACACAACCAUGUAUGUCUAAAUCGGUGUUUUGAGGUUUGACUUCAAGAACCGAUGCAUGCUUUUCAUCUCUAUGCGUCAACAGGACUAGGCCUGGAUGGGAACUUGAGUAACUACUGAACCUAUGCAAGACUGUUGCAAGACAUGUCACUCACACAGGCAGCAUACUCAGGCCAGUUAGCUCAUGGUUGUGCGUUCGAGUGGUCCGACUAAGGGGCAGAUAAAGUUCAGAACACAGGCCACUACAUCCCUGUGGUUUGGAUAGGCAAGAAGAACCUCUAGGUCAAGCCAAAAAGGGCUACACAAACCAGAGAGGCCGUUGCUGCACCUUAAACAAAGCAGUAGGUCAGCAGAGCCUGGAACGCUGGGGGCAGCUGAGCAGGAGUCCACCGUAUAGCUAUUUUCUCUCAUCCUCUGUUCUUCAGGCCUUCCAUAGGCCUCCCACUUACUAUCUCCCUCUGCUCCUUGCAGGAAGGUGGCAGAGGAACCAGAGAGGAUGAUCAAAACUCAUGCUUUUAAAACAUUGAUGUUCCUAGCUAAAAGGUCAUCAGAUAUUUUCUGGAACUGACCCGAGAACCAAGAAGCGAGGCAGGGAUCGCUUCUUAUAGAGCGAUUCUCUGCCUGCCGUUGUGGCGAGCGCUUCUUAGGAAGGUCAUCCUGUGGACAAAAGACCAAUUUUUGUUGACGCCAUUCAGUCGGAGCAAUAAUUAGGUGCGAUCCCACCCUGCUCUCAUUUUCCAUCUCAUUCACAAUAAGUGGGAAUAUCCAGCGUGCCUGAGAGAUUGUAUCUACGAAUAUUUCUUUGCGGCAUUGAGCCAUGUCGACGAGUCAAGCUUUGAGUGAGUGCACGUGUUCGUUCUCGUACGUGUGUGGCGGUCAGACCGAGCUGUCUGGUUCUUCUACAGAUCGUGUUUCAUGUUUCGGAGGUGCAGAGUGAGACCACACCACCCCCUAAGAUGACUGACAGCUCAACACUCGCAUAACUUUUACUUGAAACCCAAAUAUCAGAACAUAUCAGAGAGGAUUAGAACAAAGCCAGAAUCAGUCUUCACUCUUUCUCUCUUACCUGUAUGCAUUUCUCCUCACCCCUCUCUCUGUCUCUCUCUCUCUCUGUCCCUCUGCUCCUUGUCCUUCUCUAUUUUUGAGAAAGAAGCUCUUUUGCAUCCCUUGUUCUUGUGUUUUUCUAUCAUAUUGUUUGAAGUUGAAUUAUACUGCAUGCAUGGGAUUAAAAAAGAAGACUUUAACUUAUUUGUGAAUGGUCAGAAUGAGGUAACCAUCUUUUUCUCCUGGACCCUCUGUCUGUCGCUCACUUAGAUAUAUACACACACACACACACACACAAAUAUGAGACAUUGCACUUUAAGGUUGGCAUCGCUCUGCAAUUUUUGAUUCUUUUGUGAUUCUGAAGUUGUUAAAGUUUAAUUUUUCGCUCAUUUAUACUGGGAUGCGCUUCCAUUGCUCUAUACCUAAAAUAUCUAUGCCAUUGCAGUUGGUAACUCCAUUUUUAGCGGCCCGGCCUGAUCAUCUGACCCUUACACCG
Colossoma macropomum (tambaqui) is the source of this 4482-nucleotide long non-coding RNA. RefSeq lists it as uncharacterized. The transcript has 2 exons. NCBI's taxonomy places the organism in Eukaryota, Metazoa, Chordata, Actinopteri, Characiformes, Serrasalmidae. The record is from RefSeq and is a predicted model, not a curated record.